This 127-nucleotide small RNA is filed under the name Marmota monax (woodchuck). Lineage: Eukaryota; Metazoa; Chordata; Mammalia; Rodentia; Sciuridae. The record is from RNAcentral.
GCUGGGUGUGGUGGUGCAUGCCUGUAAUCCCAGCAGCUUUGGAAGUAGAGGCAGGAGGAUCACAAGUUCAAGGCUAGCCUCAGCAAUUUAGCAAGGUCCUAAGCAAUUUAGUGAGACCCUUUCUCAA